This 253-nucleotide ribosomal RNA is filed under the name uncultured bacterium. RNAcentral's name for it is "partial 16S ribosomal RNA". It matches the Rfam family "Bacterial small subunit ribosomal RNA", at positions 524 to 776 of the family's 1533-position model. The record is from RNAcentral.
UACGUAGGUGGCAAGCGUUAUCCGGAAUUAUUGGGCGUAAAGCGCGCGCAGGUGGUUUCUUAAGUCUGAUGUGAAAGCCCACGGCUCAACCGUGGAGGGUCAUUGGAAACUGGGAGACUUGAGUGCAGAAGAGGAAAGUGGAAUUCCAUGUGUAGCGGUGAAAUGCGUAGAGAUAUGGAGGAACACCAGUGGCGAAGGCGACUUUCUGGUCUGUAACUGACACUGAGGCGCGAAAGCGUGGGGAGCAAACGGG